UAAGACAGAGGUGGCAAGCGUUGUUCGGAAUUACUGGGCUUAAAGGGCGCGUAGGUGGUGGCAUAAGUCCGGGGUGGAAGGCUAAGGCUUAACCUUAGAAUUGCCCUGGAAACUGUAUCACUUGAGUCAGCGAGGGGAUGGCGGAAUUCCUGGUGUAGCGGUGAAAUGCGUAGAUAUCAGGAGGAAGGCCGGUGGCGAAGGCGGCCAUCUGGCGCUGAACUGACACUGAGGCGCGAAAGCGUGGGGAGCAAACAGGAUUAGAUACCCUGGUAGUCCACGCCCUAAACGGUGGGUACUAGGUGUAGGGCUCGUAAGGGUUCUGUGCCGAAGGGAAACCAUUAAGUACCCCGCCUGGGGAGUACGGCCGCAAGGUUGAAACUCAAAUGAAUUGACGG
This 395-nucleotide ribosomal RNA is filed under the name uncultured bacterium. Its description in RNAcentral is "bacterial SSU rRNA". It matches the Rfam family "Bacterial small subunit ribosomal RNA", at positions 521 to 916 of the family's 1533-position model. The record is from RNAcentral.